UACGAAGGGGGCUAGCGUUGCUCGGAAUCACUGGGCGUAAAGGGCACGUAGGCGGAUCUUUAAGUCGGGGGUGAAAGCCUGAGGCUCAACCUCAGAAUUGCCUUCGAUACUGGAGAUCUUGAGUCCGGAAGAGGUAAGUGGAACUGCGAGUGUAGAGGUGAAAUUCGUAGAUAUUCGCAAGAACACCAGUGGCGAAGGCGGCUUACUGGUCCGGUUCUGACGCUGAGGCGCGAAAGCGUGGGGAGCAAACAGG
This 253-nucleotide ribosomal RNA is filed under the name uncultured bacterium. Its description in RNAcentral is "partial 16S ribosomal RNA". It matches the Rfam family "Bacterial small subunit ribosomal RNA", at positions 524 to 776 of the family's 1533-position model. The record is from RNAcentral.